Molecule: ribosomal RNA, 737 nt
Filed under: uncultured bacterium
Lineage: Bacteria
Description: bacterial SSU rRNA
Rfam family: Bacterial small subunit ribosomal RNA
Source: RNAcentral
AAGGCGUGGGUAUCAAACAGGAUUAGAUACCCUGGUAGUCCACGCAGUAAACGAUGAUUACUAGGAGUUGCGAUAUACCGUCAAGCUUCCACAGCGAAAGCGUUAAGUAAUCCACCUGGGGAGUACGCCGGCAACGGUGAAACUCAAAGGAAUUGACGGGGGCCCGCACAAGCGGAGGAACAUGUGGUUUAAUUCGAUGAUACGCGAGGAACCUUACCCGGGAUUGAAAUGUAGAUGACGGAUGGUGAAAACCGUCUUCCCUUCGGGGCGUCUAUGUAGGUGCUGCAUGGUUGUCGUCAGCUCGUGCCGUGAGGUGUCGGCUUAAGUGCCAUAACGAGCGCAACCCACAUCGGUAGUUGCUAACAGUUUUCGCUGAGGACUCUACCGAGACUGCCGUCGUAAGGCGUGAGGAAGGUGUGGAUGACGUCAAAUCAGCACGGCCCUUACAUCCGGGGCGACACACGUGUUACAAUGGGAGGGACAAAGGGCAGCUACCGGGCGACCGGAUGCGAAUCUCUAAACCCUUCCCCAGUUCGGAUCGGAGUCCGCAACUCGACUCCGUGAAGCUGGAUUCUUUAAUAAUCGCGCAUCAGCCAUGGCGCGGUGAAUACGUUCCCGGGCCUUGUACACACCGCCCGUCAAGCCAUGGGAGUCGGGGGUUCCUAAGGGCGUAACCGCAAGGGGCGCACUAGGGUAAUACCCGUUCUCGCUAAGUCGUAACAAGGUAGCAAAUAGGG